This 292-nucleotide ribosomal RNA is filed under the name uncultured bacterium. RNAcentral's name for it is "partial 16S ribosomal RNA". It matches the Rfam family "Archaeal small subunit ribosomal RNA", at positions 455 to 747 of the family's 1478-position model. The record is from RNAcentral.
GUGCCAGCCGCCGCGGUAACACCGGCAGCCCAAGUGAUGGCCGAUAUUAUUGGGCCUAAAGCGUCCGUAGCUGGCCGCACAAGUCCAUCGGAAAAUCCACCCGCCCAACGGGUGGGCGUCCGGUGGAAACUGUGUGGCUUGGGACCGGAAGGCGCGACGGGUACGUCCGGGGUAGGAGUGAAAUCCCGUAAUCCUGGACGGACCGCGAUGGCGAAAGCACUUCGAGAAAACGGAUCCGACAGUGAGGGACGAAAGCUAAGAUCGCGAACCGGAUUAGAUACCCGGGUAGUCC